UUGCACGCUGGCGGCAGGCCUAACACAUGCAAGUCGAACGGUAACAGGAAGAAGCUUGCUUCUUUGCUGACGAGUGGCGGACGGGUGAGUAAUGUCUGGGAAACUGCCUGAUGGAGGGGGAUAACUACUGGAAACGGUAGCUAAUACCGCAUAAUGUCGCAAGACCAAAGAGGGGGACCUUCGGGCCUCUUGCCAUCGGAUGUGCCCAGAUGGGAUUAGCUAGUAGGUGGGGUAACGGCUCACCUAGGCGACGAUCCCUAGCUGGUCUGAGAGGAUGACCAGCCACACUGGAACUGAGACACGGUCCAGACUCCUACGGGAGGCAGCAGUGGGGAAUAUUGCACAAUGGGCGCAAGCCUGAUGCAGCCAUGCCGCGUGUAUGAAGAAGGCCUUCGGGUUGUAAAGUACUUUCAGCGGGGAGGAAGGGAGUAAAGUUAAUACCUUUGCUCAUUGACGUUACCCGCAGAAGAAGCACCGGCUAACUCCGUG
This 489-nucleotide ribosomal RNA is filed under the name uncultured bacterium. RNAcentral describes it as "partial 16S ribosomal RNA". It matches the Rfam family "Bacterial small subunit ribosomal RNA", at positions 30 to 507 of the family's 1533-position model. The record is from RNAcentral.